Molecule: long non-coding RNA, 497 nt
Organism: Solea senegalensis (Senegalese sole)
Lineage: Eukaryota; Metazoa; Chordata; Actinopteri; Pleuronectiformes; Soleidae
Exons: 4
Source: RefSeq, a predicted model, not a curated record
UGCUUCAUCUCAUCAUAGCUCUCAUCAAUCUCCACCGGGGCAAUCUGCAGGGAGAGAGAAAGGUCACCAUCUAUCCUCUGGCCCACGCUCAUUCAUCCACCGCACAGUUUACAUGCUCGCAUCCACAUUCUGACCCGUCUUGAGCAAUUUGACAGCCUGAGUGCGCUCGUCCAUCUCCUGGGUGUUCUCCUCGUGGACGUGGUUGUGGAUCUCCGGCUCCAACGUAAGCGGCUUGAGCCGCUCCAGGACCCAAGUGACAAACUCUGCCACGUGAGGGGAGGAGGUGGACUGGGUGUGGGGCAGAGCCACGUCAAUCAUGAAGAUAUAGGUCAGGACACUGGAGAGAGAGGACGAGAAGCAGAGGGAAAGCUGUUUGAGGAUCCCGGCCACUGCUGAGAUCGCCACCUGAGAGAGAACAGAAGGAGAACAUGCCGACUAUGUUUCUGAUUCGCUGACGCUGGAGCCCCUCGUUGAGGUCCGCGGUGGACGGUGCCUCU